RNAcentral lists this ribosomal RNA (493 nucleotides) under uncultured Sphingobacteriales bacterium. RNAcentral's name for it is "bacterial SSU rRNA". It matches the Rfam family "Bacterial small subunit ribosomal RNA", at positions 888 to 1382 of the family's 1533-position model. The record is from RNAcentral. Lineage: Bacteria; Pseudomonadati; Bacteroidota; Sphingobacteriia; Sphingobacteriales.
CCCGCUCAGAAACUCAAAGGAAUUGACGGGGGCCCGCACAAGCGGUGGAGCAUGUGGUUUAAUUCGAUGAUACGCGAGGAACCUUACCUGGGCUCAAAUGUAUGUUGACGUAUUCUGAAAGGGAUACUUCUUCGGACAAUAUACAAGGUGCUGCAUGGUUGUCGUCAGCUCGUGCCGUGAGGUGUCGGGUUAAGUCCCAUAACGAGCGCAACCCCUAUCAUUAGUUGCCAUCAGGUCAAGCUGGGGACUCUAAUGAAACUGCCUACGCAAGUAGUGAGGAAGGUGGGGAUGACGUCAAAUCAGCACGGCCCUUACGUCCAGGGCUACACACGUGCUACAAUGGCCGGUACAAAGGGCAGCUACCUGGUGACAGGAUGCUAAUCUCAAAAGCCGGUCUCAGUUCGGAUUGAAGUCUGCAACUCGACUUCAUGAAGCUGGAAUCGCUAGUAAUCGUGGAUCAGCCAAGCCGCGGGUGAAUACGUUCCCGGGCCUU